RNAcentral lists this ribosomal RNA (253 nucleotides) under uncultured bacterium. RNAcentral describes it as "partial 16S ribosomal RNA". It matches the Rfam family "Bacterial small subunit ribosomal RNA", at positions 524 to 776 of the family's 1533-position model. The record is from RNAcentral.
UACGUAGGGUGCGAGCGCUAAUCGGAAUUACUGGGCGUAAAGCGUGCGCAGGCGGUUUUGUAAGUCAGAUGUGAAAUCCCCGGGCUUAACCUGGGAACUGCGUUUGAAACUACAAGGCUAGAGUGUGGCAGAGGGGGGUGGAAUUCCACGUGUAGCAGUGAAAUGCGUAGAGAUGUGGAGGAACACCGAUGGCGAAGGCAGCCCCCUGGGUUAACACUGACGCUCAGGCACGAAAGCGUGGGGAGCAAACAGG